RNAcentral lists this long non-coding RNA (976 nucleotides) under Fragaria vesca (wild strawberry). RNAcentral describes it as "long non-coding RNA (FVES_LNC004004)". The record is from RNAcentral. Lineage: Eukaryota; Viridiplantae; Streptophyta; Magnoliopsida; Rosales; Rosaceae.
UCAAAUAUCCCCUUAUUCCCCAGACUUCGCAACUUGAGGAGAAAGAAGCCGGCAUUCUUGAAGGAACACCAUCAUCUUCCCAAACUAAUAUACUUGGUCACAAGACAAAUGCUGUCACAUCCCGGCCCUUAUAUUUUUACCUUAUUCAUUAGCUUAAUUAUAAUAAGAAUUUUACCGUCUCGAUCAUUGAGUUAAUAGUUUAAUUGGUCCCUAGAGGUAUUUUUAAGAGAUAAUUAGUUUCGGGGAAUUGUUCGUGGGAGAAAAUAUGACGACGGUAAAAAUGGUAAAUUUUAGCUAGUAAAAGGUAAUUUUUAUUCGGGUAUUAUUUUUCGGGGUGUUUUAUUUUUGGGUUUGGGUUGUUUAAAAGGAUGGACCGGUUUGGGGUGUGAGGCCCAAACCCAGUUUUUUUUUCUUCUUCUUUCUUUUUCUUCCUCUCUUCUUCCCGGUUUCCUCCCGAGCCUCUCCCCCGCCAGAAACUUCUCGCCGCCCGACCGCCGCCGUCCGGCCGCCCCAGAUCGCCGCACCGGUCCCAAUCGAUCGGUCUCCGACCCAGCUAUCUUCCAGGACCGGUGACAGCCCCCCUAGCGCCGCCGUGAGAGAGCGGUGCCGCCCGAAAGGUUAGGCUGCCCCGAACUUCCGGUCGCCGGAACUCCCUCCUCCGGCCACCAAUCCGGGCAAGCUUGGUACGGUUUUGUAGCCCUCCUCCCGUGCAGCAACCCCUCCAAUCAGCUCACUCCCUCUUGAGCUAGGUAAGGAGAAAUGUGGAGUUGAAAUUUCUAGGGCUUUUAGGAUGUUUUUGUUCGAUUAGCCUAGUUAGGCUUGGAAUUGGGUGAUGUGUUGGUCAGGAAAGUUGUAGAGCAUGAUGAGGAGAUUAUUCUGUCAAAAUUUCAUAGGUUUUGGAGGUCGCCGGAAUUGGCCUCCGGCCGCCGCUGCCGGCGGAGCCGCCGCCGGUUAAGAGAUUUUUAGGGUUUUAAGU